Molecule: long non-coding RNA, 820 nt
Organism: Teleopsis dalmanni
Lineage: Eukaryota; Metazoa; Arthropoda; Insecta; Diptera; Diopsidae
Exons: 2
Source: RefSeq, a predicted model, not a curated record
UUUGUCUUGAGAGAGAGUAAGGCCGAGGUACUCAUUAUAUCAUUUUACUCAAGCCCAAUAGAAGUACAAAAAACGUCUAUAUGUAGAGGACACAGAGAGACUCGUGAAUAUUUGAUUAAAAUAUUUAUUUCAUUAUUUAAUGUACUUAAAGUCGAUGUUUGCGGUGCAAUACUUAAAUUAACUCCGUUCAAGUUGACUUGUGUUGGCUCAGCUUAUUCCAGAAAAGUAAUCGAAAUAAUCGAAGUAUCUCUUCGCUGCAUAAAAUGAACGCAAAAGAUUACACGUACGCGAAUUAGUGAAAGGGCCGCAAUAGCAACCCACGAAACAACGACAAAACCGAUAAUCAGAUAAAAAAUAUAAGAAAGAAGAUACAAGAUACAAGAUACACGAUACAAGACGACUCAAUGGACAAGGCGGAGAAAAUUUUUGAUACACUCGCGUACACGUCGUGUUCCGUAGAAUUACCGGCAGCGAUUACUUGCUCGAGUUGAGGUAAAUGUUGAGAAGUAAAAUUUUGAUUGAAUAUUUUAAUGACUUUUCAACUUAUUUACUUUUUGCUUUCAGCAGCGAUUAUCACUAUUAUUUUGCUAUUUAUCUGGUUUCGCUAAAGCAAAAGUAUUUAAAAAAUAAAAGGCAUUAAAGCACGCAACACACGUCACGUUUCGUCUUACAUUUAUGGAUUUAAAAAUUGUAUCUGACGUUAAGGGAAAUUAAAAUAAGUUUUCUGCUUUGCUGUUUUGCUGUUUUGCACUGAAGUCGUUAUCGGAACAGAUUGGGUAUUGUGUACUUAAGCUCAAGAAUUAUGCAGAUUUUAGGUUGA